UGCCAUGCUGGGUGGAGGUAAUAAUGUCAUGCUGGGUGGAGGUAAUAAUGCCAUGAUGGGUGGAGGUAAUAAUGUCAUGCUGGGUGGAGGUAACAAUGCCAUGCUGGGUGGAG
Melanotaenia boesemani (Boeseman's rainbowfish) is the source of this 113-nucleotide long non-coding RNA. RefSeq lists it as uncharacterized. The record is from RefSeq and is a predicted model, not a curated record. Lineage: Eukaryota; Metazoa; Chordata; Actinopteri; Atheriniformes; Melanotaeniidae. The transcript is spliced from 3 exons.